RNAcentral lists this long non-coding RNA (465 nucleotides) under Brassica napus (rape). RNAcentral describes it as "long non-coding RNA (BNAP_LNC014269)". Lineage: Eukaryota; Viridiplantae; Streptophyta; Magnoliopsida; Brassicales; Brassicaceae. The record is from RNAcentral.
CAAGUACGUGUGCUUGUGAUUUAUACAUGAACAAGGAACGAAGAGGAACAAUGAAUUUUUUAAUAUUCUUAAAAAAAUUUAACAUUUAUAAAGAAUAAUUUUUCUUUUCUAUUUUUUCUUAUUUUUUUUAUUCCAGACAAAUAUAAAAUAAAUUUGUUCAUCUCUAAAUAUGAUAAGAUUCUUUUCCAAUCCAUUCUCUAUCUUUCUGUGAUGCUUAUGAAAUCAUUAUCCCUCUUUUCAAAAGCUUCCUCUACGUAAUUAAAACAGUUGAUCUGAUGAUGAAGCAGAUGAUCUGGUGUUAUCUAUCGCAUGGAAUCCUACUAUAUAAAAGGAGCUAAAUCCUUGCUUCCUAAGCCUAUCCACAUGUGCACAAAUAUUCAGGACCAACCAAUAUGCCAGGUCAUCACGAAGUGGGCUUGCAAUUAAAAAAAACGAAAUCUUCGCGGCCCAGUCCAUAGCCUCAUC